UAUCCGGUCCACAGUAUACACAGGAUAUAAAUAGGGAGCAAAAGGAUGUCCCAUCAUUAAAUUGUAUCAGUUCAAUACAUACGAUCUCCAAGAUGCUGAAACUCGUGGUGGUAGCUGCUCUCCUGGCCUUCGCCGCCGCCAAGCCCCUGGUAGUGGAAUACCCGAUCACAGUAGAAUCCUACUCCUCGCCUGUAGUAGAGUACUCUGCUCCGGUCUACUACUCGGACUACUACUCCACCUACGAGUAUGCGCCAUACUACGAUCAUUACCACACUCAUCACUACUACGACUAAUAUGACGUCAUAAACCGGAUUCGAAAUAAAAUGACUAUAUACUGCAAA
Molecule: long non-coding RNA, 341 nt
Organism: Aricia agestis (brown argus)
Lineage: Eukaryota; Metazoa; Arthropoda; Insecta; Lepidoptera; Lycaenidae
Exons: 2
Source: RefSeq, a predicted model, not a curated record